CCCGGUUCUAGUGAGGCACUUACUUUGCAUGAGGGAAUAAAUUAUGAGGAUAUUCAAAGUCCAAGUCUUAUUCAGCUAUACAAAAAAAAGGAACCAAAUGACCCUUUUCACUUUAUAUUAUUUAGGAUGACAAAUAUUUUGAUAAAUUUCAUAAUUGCUGUAGGCCCUUGUCAGCCAUGUACAAAUAAAUUUCAAUAUCCUGUUACUAACAAGAGGAGCAUGAAUAUAACCUAUUAUAGAAAGGUUAAUAUAGAUGGUUCCCUCAACCCCAGAAAUUGGCUAUCUUAUAGCACUACUUUAGACAAAGUCUUUUGUCUAUAUUGUAUUAUGUUUGGUGGCCCUAAGUCCAA
Molecule: long non-coding RNA, 350 nt
Organism: Gordionus sp. m RMFG-2023
Lineage: Eukaryota; Metazoa; Nematomorpha; Gordioida; Chordodea; Parachordodidae
Exons: 3
Source: RefSeq, a predicted model, not a curated record